UCAAAAAAGAAAGGUGGAUUUAUCACCAACACUGCAGAACAAAAUUAUAAUCUGAUGCUUGAGCGGAUGAAUGAGACUGAGUUGGAUGGGAACAUGGAUGAAACAGCUAAUGCAGUGUUCAAGGAGGUUUUAGGAUAUCGACCAGGUUAUGCAACGGGUCUAGGCCACUCUGUUAUACCUGAACCAUCUCCUUCAUUGCUGAACAAUAGGAAUUAUCAACGCGUUGUUGAGGAGAACGAGAAGAACAAGAAUGAAGCAAAUUUGUACAAGAACCAGUUAGAAGCACUGAGAUCUGAUUUACUGGAAUUCAAGAACCAAUUUAAAGACUAUGAGAAAGUGAUGAACACUCGGAUGUCUCGUUAUGAGUCUCGGAGGGAGUCUCAGCACGAGACUCCAAUUGAUGCCUAGUCAUCGCUAGUUUUCCAAAAUCAUCCCUGCUUUUGAAAUGUUUUUUGAACUGCUGUUGAGGGUUGAUCAGACAGUAGAUGGGGAUGAUUGUGGUGAGUUCCAACUUUUGUUGAGCAACUUAGGAUGUGGCUUGGAUUUUCAGUGAUAGGGAAGUCAUCUUCUACAUCCUUUGCAUAUUGACAGCAUUGUUUGACUCAAUUAGCAAAGGACUGAAAGGGACUACUGCUAGAGACAAAGGAUUGCUGCAUGCCCGAGACACUUCCAGAAAUGUUCAAAUACUUGCUUUUUGUGCCAAGACCACACCUGCUAUUGUCCACUAACUUAUCAAAGUAUAAGUCAGUCUCUCUUGAAUCUAGAUGUAUAAACUGCUUUCGAAAGUUGCCUAACUGUUGGAAAUUUCUGUUUUAGGAUGAUAUUUAUAUGGCUGAUAGAUCAGCUCUAUAUGGUUUAUGUGGAUCAUGUUUAAUGAUAGCAGAUGUAAUAUAUAAAAUGUGUGUAUCUGGAAGUACUUAAUGCAGAAAUUUG
This is a long non-coding RNA of Carya illinoinensis, 933 nucleotides long. RefSeq lists it as uncharacterized. The transcript has 3 exons. NCBI's taxonomy places the organism in Eukaryota, Viridiplantae, Streptophyta, Magnoliopsida, Fagales, Juglandaceae. The record is from RefSeq and is a predicted model, not a curated record.